CUUGGGACUUAUGUCACAUUCCUCCAUCUGUGGCAUGCAUCUCCAUGCAGCCUAAUCAUCAGAAUUAGGCCCAUGCUUCGAGAUAAGCCCGUAGUACUGAAUCAGCCUUAUUGCAGUAGCUUCUCACCUGAUAAUGAAUCAGUAUGUAUUCUCACCAAUACUUAUCUUGAAGCACAUGUCCAUGACCCCAUGCUCUUGGGUACUCCUUCUAGAUCUUGUACAUAUUUUUCUAGUAUUGGGAAUAGUGUCCCAAAACCAAUCAUCAGCUUGUUGACGGUUGUGCUCAUUUUUGUAUAUGUACAUGAAUUAUGAAUUAAUAAAAAUUAUUUUGAUAUUUUUUAUCACAAAAUAUUUCAUCUUCUAAUGAACUCCUAUGUUGUGGCGAAGUCCUAAGGACUAUUUAGACUCGACAAAGGAGGAUUUGUCGUUUAGUCCUUAAAUCUGUUCGCGACCAAAUGAUACAUUGUUACCAAGGACGACAACGUUUAUCAAGCAUAGGUCGUUGUGUGCCAUAUAGGUUGGUUGUCCUCUUAAUCAAUGAGUG
This 544-nucleotide long non-coding RNA is filed under the name Elaeis guineensis (African oil palm). RNAcentral describes it as "long non-coding RNA (EGUI_LNC050397)". The record is from RNAcentral. Lineage: Eukaryota; Viridiplantae; Streptophyta; Magnoliopsida; Arecales; Arecaceae.